This 1235-nucleotide ribosomal RNA is filed under the name metagenome. RNAcentral's name for it is "bacterial LSU rRNA". It matches the Rfam family "Bacterial large subunit ribosomal RNA", at positions 1564 to 2808 of the family's 2925-position model. The record is from RNAcentral.
UGAGUACGAGAUGCUACGGCAUCGAAGCAGUCUAUGUCAUACUUCCAAGAAAAGCUUGCACUGUCAGAAACACAUAAUGCCUGUACCAUAACCGACACAGGUGGGUAGGUAGAGUAUACUAAGGGGCGCGAGAUAACUCUCUCUAAGGAACUCGGCAAAAUGACUCCGUAACUUCGGGAGAAGGAGUGCCUUAUUUAUAAGGUUGCAAUAACAAGAUCCAAGCAACUGUUUAUCAAAAACACAGGUCUCCGCUAAGUCGUAAGACGAUGUAUGGGGGCUGACGCCUGCCCAGUGCCAGAAGGUUAAAGAAGUUGGUUAGUGUAUGCGAAGCUGAUGACUGAAGCCCUGGUGAACGGCGGCCGUAACAAUAACGGUCCUAAGGUAGCGAAAUUCCUUGUCGGGUAAGUUCCGACCCGCACGAAAGGCGUAAUGAUUUGGAUACUGUCUCGGAGAGAGGCUCGGUGAAAUAGACUUGUCUGUGAAGAUGCGGACUACCUGCACCAGGACAGAAAGACCCUAUGAAGCUUUACUGUAACUUGAAAUUGGAAUUGGACUUUGCUUGCGCAGUAUAGGUGGGAAGCGUUGAAGAUAUUCUUGCGGGAGUAUUGGAGCUAUCAGUGAGAUACCACUCUUGUAAUGUUAGAUUUCUAACUUUGAACCAUAAUCUGGUCAAAGAACAGUUUCAGGUGGGCAGUUUGACUGGGGCGGUCGCCUCCCAAAUGGUAACGGAGGCGUACAAAGGUUUCCUCUGAACGGAUAGAAAUCGUAUCUAGAGUGUAAAGGCAUAAGGAAGCUUGACUGUGAGACCUACAAGUCGAGCAGGGACGAAAGUCGGUCUUAGUGAUCUGACGGUACUGAGUGGAAAGGCCGUCACUCAACGGAUAAAAGUUACUCUAGGGAUAACAGGCUGAUCUCCCCCAAGAGUUCACAUCGACGGGGAGGUUUGGCACCUCGAUGUCGGCUCAUCGCAUCCUGGGGCGGUAGUACGUCCCAAGGGUUGGGCUGUUCGCCCAUGAAAGCGGUACGCGAGCUGGGUUCAGAACGUCGUGAGACAGUUCGGUCCAUAUCCGGUGUAGGCGUUAGAAUAUUGAGAGGAGCCUUCUUUAGUACGAGAGGACCGAGAAGGACACACCGCUGGUGUACCAGUUAUCGUGCCAACGGUAAACGCUGGGUAGCUAUGUGUGGAGUGGAUAACCGCUGAAAGCAUCUAAGUGGGAAGCCCACCUCAAGAUGAG